CCUGAUUAAACAUAAGAGGUCCAGCCUGCCCAGUGAUAACAUUCAACGGCCGCGGUAUUCUGACCGUGCGAAGGUAGCAUAAUCACUUGUUCCUUAAAUAGGGACUAGUAUCAACGGCAUCACGAGGGCUAUACUGUCUCCCCCCUCCAAUCAGUGAAACUGAUCCCCCCGUGAAGAAGCGGGGAUUUAAUUAUAAGACGAGAAGACCCCAUGGAGCUUUAAACCCAACACACACCCCAUCGCUAAAACAUCAACUAAGCCUCGAGGGCCUGUACGUUGGUUUUAGGCUGGGGGGACCACGGAGCAAAAUCAAACCUCCACAACAAAUGGGCUAAAACCCUUAUCCACGAUUUACAAAUCUAAGAAUCAUCAAAAUGAUGUUUAAUGACCCGAUAAUUCGAUCAAUGAACCA
Molecule: ribosomal RNA, 412 nt
Filed under: Odorrana chloronota
Lineage: Eukaryota; Metazoa; Chordata; Amphibia; Anura; Ranidae
Description: partial 16S ribosomal RNA
Rfam family: Bacterial large subunit ribosomal RNA
Source: RNAcentral